GGUUCCAUGGUCUAGUGGUUAGGGCAUUGGACUCUGAACCAGUAACCCGAGUUCAAGUCUCAGUGGAACCU
RNAcentral lists this transfer RNA (71 nucleotides) under Triticum aestivum (bread wheat). It matches the Rfam family "tRNA". From Rfam's summary of the family: Transfer RNA (tRNA) molecules are approximately 80 nucleotides in length. Their secondary structure includes four short double-helical elements and three loops (D, anti-codon, and T loops). Further hydrogen bonds mediate the characteristic L-shaped molecular structure. tRNAs have two regions of fundamental functional importance: the anti-codon, which is responsible for specific mRNA codon recognition, and the 3' end, to which the tRNAs corresponding amino acid is attached (by aminoacyl-tRNA synthetases). tRNAs cope with the degeneracy of the genetic code in two manners: having more than one tRNA (with a specific anti-codon) for a particular amino acid; and 'wobble' base-pairing, i.e. permitting non-standard base-pairing at the 3rd anti-codon position. Lineage: Eukaryota; Viridiplantae; Streptophyta; Magnoliopsida; Poales; Poaceae. RNAcentral also lists the same sequence under 1 other name. The record is from Rfam by way of RNAcentral.